GAGGGCAAGAACGGAGGAGCCUUUGCAGGCCGGUCUGAAGGUCUGCACAGUGCUUGACUACAGACUUUCUGGCCUCCUGAAGUCAAAGCCAUUAGUUUUUCCUACUCACUUAAACUUACUGCAUACAAAAAAAGCCUUUCAGUGGUGAACUCUGAUAAAUGUCCAAUGAUGUGGGGCUCCCGCAAUCUUGCAGCGCAUUGUAUCUUCAGCCUUUUGUUUGUGCCAGCCCUAACCUUUGCAUUUUACGGGGCAAAGAGCAGACCAGAAUCAAUUUCUAAAACUUCUGAACUAGCGGACUCUUAACAAAGACAAGUUUCAAUGAGGAUUCCAUCCCAUUUUUACUCCAUGAUUCUUCAGGCAGAACAGAUACUUUAUGAAAAGAACCAGUGAACAACAUCAUAUGAGCCUUUCACAGGAUAAAUGGGUUGGACAGGCAAUUUUGGCUUCUUCUGGGAUCAUGCUCUCCAUUCAAAUAUACAGCUCAAUUAUGUGACUUCCAUACUGAGAAAAUACUUUAACUUUUAAAGUGCACAGCAGCAGUCUGGUCUUAAUAAAAAUGUUUAAAACCCACUCUUAAACUAUAACUCCAAGUUGCAGCUGAACAUGAAACAUCCUCUUACAAACAAUUACACACAAUUUCUGUCAUGCUUUGGAAGAUAUGUAUGUGCACUAGGGAUGUUAAAAAUCAAAACCCCCACAAUUCUAGGUGAAAAAGGGAAAGGCUUAAAACCUUUCAAGAUAUGCUUAGACAGAAAUGCAGUGAGCCUUGUAACUUAACAGCAGGCAUCUGUUUGAAGUAUGUAUAGCACGUAGGUGUAACCUUUGGCUUUAUGUAUUAUAGAAUCUCUUGGAAGAACUGCUACAAUCCAAAACUGGAACAACACAAUCUAUGAAAAUGAUUCAUUCUCAAGGUUUCUCUGUAGAGAAACUUUGUUUUUGUAUGAAGGUUUCCAGUGCCUUUUAAGCUUGAGCAAAUGAGUGAAAAAGGGAGAAACGCUGUCUGGAAGUCUGGUACUCUGAUCAGAAUACUACAGUGAGGCAGUAAAUCUGGUUAUGAAUUAUCCUCCUGUCUAGAGGAAGGCAAAUCCAUGCAUAAGAAGACAUUACUCUCAGCUAAUUGAAAUCUAAAUACAAUUAGAUCUCAUUUGAAAAUGUCCUUUAUACACAGAAGACUAACAAUAGAAAGCAAAAUUGCUGGUGGGAAGGUAAGUGGCCUACUGGUGAGCAUUAAUACCAGAAAUCUACAUCUACCCCCCUAUCUUCCCACAUUUUUCUGUUCCACUCAAUUAUAAAAAGCCAGUGACCUGCUUGAGAAAUAAAAUAUCAACCAGAUGUUUCCUGAGCAAAGACAACUUGUGUUUCCCCUUACGCAUCAUCUUCUGAGAGGCACAACUAGUGACUGCACAUCUGACAUCAUUCACUGUGUUGACUUUGGGUUACUCAGAAUCUUUCCUUUAUUUAACCUUCCAACUCAAAUACAAUAGUUUACAGAGAUCAUAUGGAAAGAAUGGAUUUGAAUGACUAGAAUAUGAUGUGGAAGAAUGGUUUAUAUUCACUCUGCUACAACAAAGCCAUUUGCUGUCACAGUCAUGAAAUAAUAACUUGAAGGGUGGAGGGCUAUCCAUUUUCUCAUACACAUUUUGGCAGGACAAAGUGCUGCAUGUUGCCCAGUAUCAGUCCUCAUGGAAACAGGAGGUGGGUGAGCAGUAAUGUCAAAAAUGAACUUCUUUUGAAGAGCAAUAUUGUACAAAUAGGUUUUUAGAAGAGAUUGUAAUUUUAAAAGAAAACUUAUGUAGGAGACUAGACUUUCUGUAACUCCUGGUGAGCUUUGGAUUAGAUCAUUGAGCUUUAGAUCAGAUGUCAAUAUACUGCCAGAAACUACAGCAGCUUUCUGGUUCUACUUGACUAUCAUGAAAACUUCACUGGUUCCCACUGCUCUGUUCACUGGAAUAGGAUAUUUAAAAUGAGAGGCGCAGUCAUCACGUAAUGGAAAAUUUUCAUUCUUUUUCCUCAAACAACGCUAUAUUCACCAUGGUUCAUUCUGAGAGCACAAGCUUUGAACUCCAUUUGUAGGCAAGCUGGUGGCAACAGCAAGCUAAUCUUCAGGAGCUAUGUGAACAAGCUGCAUGGGAAGUAGGUGCCAUUCUUUGACAUCUGCACACAGCAUUUGUUGGACAACUUUUAGUGCGGAUACAUUUCUGUUCAAGCUAUCCAGAAAAGUUCAUAAUGUAGGUAUAAUUCAUACAAGAUCAAAACUUAAUCAGUUACGAAUAAAGCUAUAAAAUGUUUUUAGAAUAUGUUUUCUGCAUCUGAAGGCUUCACUAUAUCAACACUUUUUUUCCUAGUCAUUUGUACGAGAAGUUACAGCAGACAAAGCUGCAACAGCUUUUCUCUUCCCUGGCAAUACAAGAUAGGUGAAAUAACUAAUGCUUAAAUAAACUGAAUGAAAUGCCACUACAUAUUGAAAUCAGUAUGAAAGACAGUGGGGACAUAAAUUUAACAGAAGAUCUGAUGUUGUAUUCAUCUCACUUCACUGCUUAGUGCGAAUAAAGGAAAAGCUGUUUCCAGUAGCUACUGUUUAAUUGAUUGUGAAUUUUAAUCUGGAAGGUUGCAUACAGCACAAGAAACUGCCUGUGCAAUGGCUUCUAAUAAGGGUACGUGAGCAAAUGCCAUGUAUUCUACAGUCUCAGUGUGAGGUCUGUAGGAAAUGGAGUUUUCAGCAAGACUGACAAUGGAACCAUUCAGCCCCUUGAAUGCUCAGUCUUAAUGUUUCAGCUCACUGCAGACAAACGCGUACUCUGUCUUGCUGACAAGAUAAGGAGAUAAUCAGGUAUUUAUACAUACAGAACACUUCCACUUCCUCUUCUAUUAAACGAAAUUAUGGAAUAGUUCGAGAAAAUGAAGAAAAUUAACUCAUCUGUAUACGAUUCAUCUCUGUGCAGUUACUCAGCUCGCUAGGCACAUAUUCUCUGUAAACUUUGGAACUCUACAUUUCAAGGUAUCUUCAGGUUCACAACAGUUUGUUUUGCUUUUCAGUCUUCUUGAACAAUCAACCCAGCUCCUCCUUUGCUUCAGAUAUAACUUCUAUCCCAAUCCUGUUCAAAAGCAACUCUGGUACUGCUGUUAUUGCUUUGAAUUCCUACAUAUUUAACGCUUAAAAAUGCCUUCUGAAGCUCAAGGUAAUUUUUGGUAACACUGCCUAAAAAGGAAAUUUGAUAAUUGAUAAUGCUCAAUCAAGUAAAACACCGUAUUUUUGACAGAAAAUUCAUUUCUGGAGCUCCAGUAAGUGUAUGGGUACGAAAACAAUGGAAGGUUAAGGAGAAUGAUGUUUCAGUACUGUACUCUGUUGGUGUCUGUUCUUUAUCUGCUGGAAAAAGAUAAAAAUGUCGUGACAGCUGAAUUCAGAGUGGACUGAGAGUUGUCUUGUACCAUAAUAUCCAUUUCAGUGAUAGUCUCCAAGUCAGACUCUUAAAAAGAAGCCUGAACCGCUAAGAAGUUUGCUGUCAGAACACAUGGAGUCCUACUUAAUUCUCAUGAAUCCAACUUAUUCUUCAAAAGUGCUUUAGAAAUAAAACAGCACAUGACAUCAGCCUGUCAUUGUGACCUGCCCAGCAAGGCCAGUCUUAAACAUAAGAAACUGAAAAGAAAAAAGAAAAAACCAUAUAGAUACAGUAAUGAUUUAUUGGAAACACACAAAAUAUAAAGGCAACGACUUCAACCAUUUCUUCUUUAGCAAUAUAAACUUAUUCCAUCACAAGAUUUGUACAGCAACAAGAUUAGAUUUAGUAGAGAUGCAAAAUAUUUUCAAUCCCUGAGACUGAGGCUAUCUCAACAUUGCUGAACUCUGUCCUUCCCCUGCAAAGGUGCUGCAAAUGUAAUUUCCUGCUUGGUUGUGUUUCUAGUGGAUUGCCAUC
Gallus gallus (chicken) is the source of this 3914-nucleotide long non-coding RNA. RefSeq lists it as uncharacterized. The transcript is spliced from 3 exons. Lineage: Eukaryota; Metazoa; Chordata; Aves; Galliformes; Phasianidae. The record is from RefSeq and is a predicted model, not a curated record.